GACCAUCUCCUAAGGCUAAAUACUCUCUAGUGACCGAUAGUGAACCAGUACCGUGAGGGAAAGGUGAAAAGCACCCCGGAAGGGGAGUGAAAUAGAACCUGAAACCGUGUGCUUACAAGUAGUCAGAGCCCGUUAAUGGGUGAUGGCGUGCCUUUUGUAGAAUGAACCGGCGAGUUACGAUUUGAUGCAAGGUUAAGCAGUAAAUGUGGAGCCGUAGCGAAAGCGAGUCUGAAUAGGGCGUUUAGUAUUUGGUCGUAGACCCGAAACCAGGUGAUCUACCCUUGGUCAGGUUGAAGUUCAGGUAACACUGAAUGGAGGACCGAACCGACUUACGUUGAAAAGUGAGCGGAUGAACUGAGGGUAGCGGAGAAAUUCCAAUCGAACCUGGAGAUAGCUGGUUCUCUCCGAAAUAGCUUUAGGGCUAGCCUCAAGUGAUGAUUAUUGGAGGUAGAGCACUGUUUGGACGAGGGGCCCCUCUCGGGUUACCGAAUUCAGACAAACUCCGAAUGCCAAUUAAUUUAACUUGGGAGUCAGAACAUGGGUGAUAAGGUCCGUGUUCGAAAGGGAAACAGCCCAGACCACCAGCUAAGGUCCCAAAAUAUAUGUUAAGUGGAAAAGGAUGUGGCGUUGCCCAGACAACUAGGAUGUUGGCUUAGAAGCAGCCAUCAUUUAAAGAGUGCGUAAUAGCUCACUAGUCGAGUGACACUGCGCCGAAAAUGUACCGGGGCUAAACAUAUUACCGAAGCUGUGGAUUGUCCUUUGGACAAUGGUAGGAGAGCGUUCUAAGGGCGUUGAAGCAUGAUCGUAAGGACAUGUGGAGCGCUUAGAAGUGAGAAUGCCGGUGUGAGUAGCGAAAGACGGGUGAGAAUCCCGUCCACCGAUUGACUAAGGUUUCCAGAGGAAGGCUCGUCCGCUCUGGGUUAGUCGGGUCCUAAGCUGAGGCCGACAGGCGUAGGCGAUGGAUAACAGGUUGAUAUUCCUGUACCACCUAUAAUC
RNAcentral lists this ribosomal RNA (996 nucleotides) under Staphylococcus aureus. RNAcentral's name for it is "partial 23S ribosomal RNA". It matches the Rfam family "Bacterial large subunit ribosomal RNA", at positions 451 to 1455 of the family's 2925-position model. Lineage: Bacteria; Bacillati; Bacillota; Bacilli; Caryophanales; Staphylococcaceae. The record is from RNAcentral.